GACGAACGCUGGCGGCGUGCCUAAUACAUGCCAGUUGAGCGAUGAAGAUUGGUGCUUGCACCAAUUUGAAGAGCAGCGAACGGGUGAGUAACGCGUGGGGAAUCUGCCUUUGAGCGGGGGACAACAUUUGGAAACGAAUGCUAAUACCGCAUAACAACUUUAAACAUAAGUUUUAAGUUUGAAAGAUGCAAUUGCAUCACUCAAAGAUGAUCCCGCGUUGUAUUAGCUAGUUGGUGAGGUAAAGGCUCACCAAGGCGAUGAUACAUAGCCGACCUGAGAGGGUGAUCGGCCACAUUGGGACUGAGACACGGCCCAAACUCCUACGGGAGGCAGCAGUAGGGAAUCUUCGGCAAUGGACGAAAGUCUGACCGAGCAACGCCGCGUGAGUGAAGAAGGUUGUCGGAUCGUAAAACUCUGUUGGUAGAGAAGAACGUUGGUGAGAGUGGAAAGCUCAUCAAGUGACGGUAACUACCCAGAAAGGGACGGCUAACUACGUG
This 497-nucleotide ribosomal RNA is filed under the name uncultured bacterium. Its description in RNAcentral is "partial 16S ribosomal RNA". It matches the Rfam family "Bacterial small subunit ribosomal RNA", at positions 28 to 507 of the family's 1533-position model. The record is from RNAcentral.